AAACUUUUACUAAAUUUUUCAACUACCACUCACUACCACUCACUACUUAAUCACUUAACUAGACUGAGAGUCUGAGAACAGGUGUGUUAGUUGGAACCGUUAGGUUAUCAAACUAUUACAUGUUACUUUUUACAUAUAGUGAACAACCCACUUGCUAAUUUGUUGAAAUAAACGGAUAUAAAAACAUCCUCCAUUUUGGUCUCCGAUCAACCGGAUAAUGUUAUAUAUUCUUCCUUCCGAUGUGUAUUGUGGACUAUUUUUUUGAAAAUGGCAUAUGCGGCAUCCUGAAUUCCUAAUGCCCUGAUUGAAAAUUGAGAUCGAAAUAUGAAAUAUCCCACCCGAAAGCACAUGCAUGCAUGAGGAUUGAGAAAUUGAGGACAGUUGCCACCAACUGUAGUCUGUAGUCUGUAGACUGUAGUCAAAACCCAGAUAUGGUUUGAAAAGCUCUCUCUGUUCAUACUAAGGGUUCA
This 470-nucleotide long non-coding RNA is filed under the name Zostera marina. RNAcentral's name for it is "long non-coding RNA (ZMAR_LNC003278)". The record is from RNAcentral. Lineage: Eukaryota; Viridiplantae; Streptophyta; Magnoliopsida; Alismatales; Zosteraceae.